This 465-nucleotide ribosomal RNA is filed under the name uncultured bacterium. Its description in RNAcentral is "bacterial SSU rRNA". It matches the Rfam family "Bacterial small subunit ribosomal RNA", at positions 917 to 1382 of the family's 1533-position model. The record is from RNAcentral.
GGACCCGCACAAGCGGUGGAGCAUGUGGUUUAAUUCGAAGCAACGCGAAGAACCUUACCAAGUCUUGACAUCCUUCUGACCGGUCCGUAAUGGGACCUUUCCUUCGGGACAGAAGAGACAGGUGGUGCAUGGUUGUCGUCAGCUCGUGUCGUGAGAUGUUGGGUUAAGUCCCGCAACGAGCGCAACCCUUAUCUUCAGUAGCCAGCAUUUAAGAUGGGCACUCUGGAGAGACUGCCAGGGAUAACCUGGAGGAAGGUGGGGAUGACGUCAAAUCAUCAUGCCCCUUAUGACUUGGGCUACACACGUGCUACAAUGGCGUAAACAAAGGGAAGCAGCCCCGUGAGGGUGAGCGAAUCCCAAAAAUAACGUCCCAGUUCGGAUUGUAGUCUGCAACCCGACUACAUGAAGCUGGAAUCGCUAGUAAUCGCGAAUCAGAAUGUCGCGGUGAAUACGUUCCCGGGUCUU